RNAcentral lists this ribosomal RNA (253 nucleotides) under uncultured bacterium. RNAcentral describes it as "partial 16S ribosomal RNA". It matches the Rfam family "Bacterial small subunit ribosomal RNA", at positions 524 to 776 of the family's 1533-position model. The record is from RNAcentral.
UACAGAGGCCUCGAGCGUUAGGCGGAAUCACUGGGCUUAAAGCGUGUGUAGGCGGACUUCUAAGUACCUUGUGAAAUCCCACGGCUUACCCGUGGAACUGCUCGGUAUACUGGGAGUCUUGAGCCACCUUGGGGCGAGUGGAACAAAUGGUGGAGCGGUGAAAUGCGUAGAUAUCAUUUGGAACGCCAAUGGUGAAAACAACUCGCUGGGGGUGUGCUGACGCUGAGACACGAAAGCCAGGGGAGCGAACGGG